RNAcentral lists this ribosomal RNA (251 nucleotides) under uncultured Gardnerella sp. RNAcentral describes it as "partial 16S ribosomal RNA". It matches the Rfam family "Bacterial small subunit ribosomal RNA", at positions 103 to 355 of the family's 1533-position model. The record is from RNAcentral. Lineage: Bacteria; Bacillati; Actinomycetota; Actinomycetes; Bifidobacteriales; Bifidobacteriaceae.
CGGGUGAGUAAUGCGUGACCAACCUGCCCCAUGCUCCAGAAUAGCUCUUGGAAACGGGUGGUAAUGCUGGAUGCUCCAACUUGACGCAUGUCUUGUUGGGAAAGUGUUUAGUGGCAUGGGAUGGGGUCGCGUCCUAUCAGCUUGUAGGCGGGGUAAUGGCCCACCUAGGCUUCGACGGGUAGCCGGCCUGAGAGGGCGGACGGCCACAUUGGGACUGAGAUACGGCCCAGACUCUACGGGAGGCAGCAGCA